AUUGAACGCUAGCGGGAUGCUUCACACAUGCAAGUCGAACGGAGUGGCGGACGGGUGAGUAAUAUAUCGGAACGUGCCCAGUAGCGGGGGAUCACUACUCGAAAGAGUCGCUAAUACCGCAUUCUAUUAGAGCCGCCGAUAUGGGAGUAGCUAGUGGGUGGGGUAAAGGCUCACCAAGGCCACGAUCCGUAUCUGGUCUGAGAGGACGAACAGCCACACUGGGACUGAGACACGGCCCAGACUCCUACGGGAGGCAGCAGUGGGGAAUUUUGGACAAUGGGGGAAAGCCUGAUGCAGCCAUCCCGCGUGUAUGAUGAAGGCCUUCGGGUUGUAAAGUACUUUUGGCCGGGAAGCGUUAUCUGCAGAAUAAGCACCGGCUAACUACGUGCCAGCAGCCGCGGUAAUAC
This 407-nucleotide ribosomal RNA is filed under the name uncultured bacterium. RNAcentral describes it as "partial 16S ribosomal RNA". It matches the Rfam family "Bacterial small subunit ribosomal RNA", at positions 30 to 526 of the family's 1533-position model. The record is from RNAcentral.